Molecule: ribosomal RNA, 419 nt
Filed under: bacterium
Lineage: Bacteria
Description: partial 16S ribosomal RNA
Rfam family: Bacterial small subunit ribosomal RNA
Source: RNAcentral
UGGGGGAUAUUGCACAAUGGGCGAAAGCCUGAUGCAGCGACGCCGCGUGGGGGAUGAAGGCCUUCGGGUUGUAAACUUCUUUUGAUCUGAACAAGGCGCACCAUGGGGUGUGUUGAGUGUAGGGGUUGAUUAGCGCCGGCUAACUACGUGCCAGCAGCCGCGGUAAUACGUAGGGCGCGAGCGUUGUCCGGAAUUAUUGGGAGUAAAGGGCUUGUAGGUGGCUGGUUGCGUCUGUCGUGAAAGCUCAUGGCUUAACUGUGGGUUUGCGGUGGGUACGGGCUGGCUUGAGUGCAGUAGGGGAGGCUGGAAUUCCUGGUGUAGCGGUGGAAUGCGCAGAUAUCAGGAGGAAUACCGGUGGCGAAGGCGGGUCUCUGGGCUGUUACUGACACUGAGGAGCGAAAGCAUGGGGAGCGAACAGG